UCCAUAAUUCGUCUUGCAUGUGUUCAAGGCUGCUUGUGAUAUUUGACUUUUUCAAAAGAGAAACAGACUAUCAUAUCAACAAAUAACUCGUAGGUUACAGUGUGGCAAGUUACAUGUGCGACUUAAAAUGGUUAAGUGGGCCACCCGUAGAAUUUUGGAAAUAUUUCAUUUUUUGGUUGGGACUGGGAUUUUGCUGUUGGUGCAAUAAUGUCAACUCCAGAUUUUCAAAAGACUCGUUAUAGUUAAAGUGAUAAGGCAAAACUAAUGUCAUGGAUUGUGAUGCCCUCGUGCUGCCAUUCACAUUCGGUCGAUGCGUUAGGCUUCUUUGGAGCUCUGCCAUGGAAAUAUUCAGCAAUAACUUUGGGAUUGUGUCAUAGGAGUUGGAUUGUGUUGGCAAAAAAAAAAAAAUUCUGUAUUUUUGUUUUGUUUUAUUAUUUAGGAUGGAGAGGUUGUUUCAUUGUUGCUUGGUUUAUAACAUUUUGCAUAAGCUCGUUCGACGAGCAAAAGAAUGGUAAUUUUCUGUAUGUUCAUUAUUUUCAUACAUCUCUUUUGGCUCC
Molecule: non-coding RNA, 557 nt
Organism: Cucurbita pepo subsp. pepo (vegetable marrow)
Lineage: Eukaryota; Viridiplantae; Streptophyta; Magnoliopsida; Cucurbitales; Cucurbitaceae
Source: RefSeq, a predicted model, not a curated record